RNAcentral lists this ribosomal RNA (295 nucleotides) under uncultured bacterium. Its description in RNAcentral is "partial 16S ribosomal RNA". It matches the Rfam family "Bacterial small subunit ribosomal RNA", at positions 775 to 1067 of the family's 1533-position model. The record is from RNAcentral.
GGAUUAGAUACCCUGGUAGUCCACGCCGUAAACGAUGGAUACUAGGCGCAGUGGGUAUUGACCCCCGCUGUGCCGUAGCUAACGCAUUAAGUAUCCCGCCUGGGAAGUACGGCCGCAAGGUUAAAACUCAAAGGAAUUGACGGGGGCCCGCACAAGCGGUGGAGCAUGUGGUUUAAUUCGACGCAACGCGCAGAACCUUACCCAGACUUGACAUUGAAGGAAUCCCUUGGAAACUUGGGAGUGCUCUUCGGAGCCCUGAAAACAGGUGCUGCAUGGCUGUCGUCAGCUCGUGCCG